This 2893-nucleotide long non-coding RNA is filed under the name Mus musculus (house mouse). Its description in RNAcentral is "long non-coding RNA chr3:89023541-89026434". Lineage: Eukaryota; Metazoa; Chordata; Mammalia; Rodentia; Muridae. The record is from RNAcentral.
GCUCUUACCCUGCUAAGCCAUCUCGCCAGCCCUCCAUAUUUUUUUAAAAAGGUAAAAAAUGAAUCACAUUUAUAUGUGCAUUCACAUAUACACAUAUUAUAUAUAAUCUAAUAUACAGUAUAUAUGUAAUAUAUUUUAUAUGUAUAGCACUCUCAGGUACCAUUGUAUUCUCUAGACUGAUGAUGCUGCACUAGGUUAGAAGGUUACAAUUAUCAUUCUUAAUGUUUAGCCUCCCCUAAGAUCCAUUCUGUAGUUUGUAUUCUAAUUAUUCCUUUGCUGUUUAAAAGUAAGAAAGAAUACCAGGUGUGAUGCUGUUCACCUGUAAUCCAAGCAGAGACAGGAAGAUUGUCACUGUUCAAGGGCAUCAUUCUGUGCGUACCUGCCAGACUCCAUAGGGAGACAUUUCUCAGAAAGGGAAGGAAAUUGAAUAACACUGUCUGUUCAGAUAAAUGUAUUUGGAGUUUUUUUGCUUACAUAAUUUGUCAAAUAAACUUUCCUGCAUUGUUUGAAGAACUUUAUAAAUCCUUGGUACAGCUUGAUAAGCACUCCUUUGUUACUUCACUGCCAUGGAGUCGAGCACUGGCAGUGUAGACCAGCCAUCCAGCUCUGCCCUGAGAUCACAGCUGUGUAUCCUAAUUAGGAAGCUUUGGGCUGGCUCUUGGUAAAUACCUUAAGCUGAAAACCCAGGUCUGACUGAUAUCUAGUGCUUCAUACCUGAAUAUUGUUGGGCUUGUCUAUAAUCCACUCAGGAUCAGCAGAGCAAGCAGUGAGAGCCACCUCAAGUACAUAGAGAGCUAUACCUGCCUGACCUGUCUUUUAAGAAGGGGGGGCAGUAGGGAGGGAGGGAGGAUGGUAAUUUUUAAACACCAAGAGGUGUUCAUGGUAAAGUUAAGAACUAGCCUUGUGUCAAAGGACUGGGAUUGUAGGCAUGGGCUGCCACAGCUGGCCUGAACUCAGUUUUCAGGAUGUUUUUUAAGAAAAAAAAAAGUGAAACAGUCAUUAAGACAAUCAGGAGGUUCAGGAGUAUUUUUAAAGUUUUCUUUAAUACCAUCACUCGAGAGGCAUAGGCAGUUUGAAAAGUAUAAAACUGAAAGAUUAGACUUAAGAGCCCAAGGCUUGGUUACUGUCUUCAUAGAGCACUUGUCCAGCACAGUCCUGCUCUUUCCAGUCUCUUUUUUUUUUUGACCCACGAAAAUUUUCCCCAAGAAAAAGUUAGAUGGCCCCAUCUAUAUACACAUACAAUAUAUACACAUACAAUAGGUAUCUGUGAGAAAUGUGAAAAUGCCAAGCUGAACCUUUCUCUGGGUAGUAAGAAAGUUUAUUGGGGAUCAAAUCACAAAGACUGUCUCGGGAACAGAAAACAGCAACUGGGCAGCAAAGUCCUCGUGUUUUAUAAGAUAGUCGGCAAGGUGCAGGCUACUUUGAUUAAUUUAAUUAAUUAAUUAAUUAAUUGAGCCCGAGAUGGUCUUUACCUGAGGUAGAUGACCGUUAUGGGUAGGGGAGAUAAGGAAGGUAGUGCUUUUCCUGGUAAGCAGGAUUUUGAGACUCCCGAGGGAUUAUGUUUAGGCUUUUGUUCACAAUAUUGUCUCCAGCACUGCUAUUUUAUAAGCCCACUUUGAACCAAACAGUAUAUUAACCCAACAUUUACUGAUAAUCAUAAAGAAAUUCACUUUAAAAUUCUCUUCCAUCCAGGUUGUUAGUGAUGCUCACCUUUAAUUCCAGCACUUCAGUGAUGAAGGCAGGCAGAUCUCUUGGUUCAAAGCCAGCCUGGUCUACAGAGUGAAUUCCAGGACAGCCAGCUAUUGCUAUACAGAGAAAUUCAGUCUUUAAACACACACACACAAAUGAAUCAGAGAUGGCAUAGUACUUAGCACUUUGUGAUCCUGCAGAGGACUCCAGUUUCAGCGAAUCCAUUACCCGAUUCUGGCCUCUACAAGCACCAACCAUACACGUGACAACUGAACUCAUACAAGCAAAACACAUAUAAAAUAAACCCUUUUUUUUGUUUGUUUUCUUUUGUCUGAUAUGACUGUAUGAGUGCAGGUGACCAUGUGCAUGUGUGGAGAUGAGGCUGAGAUGUGACUUCUCUUCUUCCACCAUGGACUCCAUGACUGCAGACCUUCUUACCUAUACAGCCAGGGCUGUUAUUAAACAAAUAAGAUAAAAUCAGAUCUGAUAAUCAAAAUCUUUUUUUUUUUUUUAAAUUUAGACAGUAGUAAAGAACCUCUCAGAGGGGAUUUCCUGAAUUUACAGUUUAUUUAUUUAUUUUUAUUUCUGUGUAUUCACAGGUGCUUGCAGGUACCUGACAAUACCUCAGAGGCCAUAGAUCCUCUCCAGCUGCAGAUAUUGGUUCUGGGGACUGAACCCAGGUUCUCUUUAGAGAAAACAGGCAAUGCUAUUAACUGCUGAGGUUUUGUUUGGUUUUGUUUUGGUUUUGUUUUUUGUUUUUUGGUCUUUCGAGACAGGGUUUCUCUGUCUCAACCCUGGCUGUCCUGGAACUCACUCUGUAGACCAGGCUGGCCUCAAACUCAGAAAUCCACCUGCCUCUGCCUCCCGAGUGCUGAGACUAAAGGCUUGCGUCACCACUGCCCGGCUAACUGCUGAGGUUUUUAAGUAUAGUUUUUAGAUUAACGUUUUUCUUUGUACUCAUUUAUUGAAAUGGGCUUGCACACAUACAUACUGAGGACAAAGGACAGUGUUGAAAAGUUGAUUCUUUCAACAGUAGAGUUCCCAGGGCUCUAUCUCAGAUGGUCAUUCUCUGUGGCAAGGGCUGUUAGCCAUUGAGCCAUCUUACCAGAUUUCAUUUAUUGUCAUUUGGCCUCAGGAAGAAAUUUGAUUGGCUUUGUUUCUUAUUCAUUUUCUCAUCACAGCCCAAAGAGCCGAUUAAUCCAAU